This 987-nucleotide ribosomal RNA is filed under the name uncultured bacterium. Its description in RNAcentral is "bacterial SSU rRNA". It matches the Rfam family "Bacterial small subunit ribosomal RNA", at positions 297 to 1286 of the family's 1533-position model. The record is from RNAcentral.
AGGAAGGUCCCCCACACUGGUACUGAGACACGGACCAGACUCCUACGGGAGGCAGCAGUGAGGAAUAUUGGUCAAUGGGCGCAAGCCUGAACCAGCCAUGUCGCGUGCAGGAAGACUGCCCUAUGGGUUGUAAACUGCUUUUAUAGUAGAAGAAACACAUCUACGUGUAGAUGUCUGCCAGUAUACUAUGAAUAAGCAUCGGCUAACUCCGUGCCAGCAGCCGCGGUAAUACGGAGGAUGCAAGCGUUAUCCGGAUUUAUUGGGUUUAAAGGGUGCGUAGGCGGGACUGUAAGUCAGGGGUGAAAUACUGCAGCUUAACUGUAGCAUUGCCUUUGAAACUGCCGUUCUUGAGUACAGUUGAGGUAGGCGGAAUGUGGUGUGUAGCGGUGAAAUGCAUAGAUAUACCACAGAACGCCGAUUGCGAAGGCAGCUUACUAAGCUGUUACUGACGCUGAGGCACGAAAGCGUGGGGAUCAAACAGGAUUAGAUACCCUGGUAGUCCACGCUGUAAACGAUGAUUACUGGUUGUUAGCGAUAUAUAGCUAGUGACUGAGCGAAAGCAUUAAGUAAUCCACCUGGGGAGUACGUCGGCAACGAUGAAACUCAAAGGAAUUGACGGGGGCCCGCACAAGCGGAGGAACAUGUGGUUUAAUUCGAUGAUACGCGAGGAACCUUACCUGGGUUUAAAUGGGGAGUGGCAGGUGUCGAAAGAUGCUUUUCCUUCGGGACACUCUUCAAGGUGCUGCAUGGUUGUCGUCAGCUCGUGCCGUGAGGUGUCGGGUUAAGUCCCAUAACGAGCGCAACCCUUGCCGAUAGUUGCCAUCACGUAAAGGUGGGCACUCUAUCGGGACUGCCGGUGUAAACCGUGAGGAAGGUGGGGAUGACGUCAAAUCAGCACGGCCCUUACAUCCAGGGCUACACACGUGUUACAAUGGCCAGUACAGAGGGCCGCUACCCCGCGAGGGGAUGCUAAUCUCGAAAGCUGGU